This 198-nucleotide ribosomal RNA is filed under the name uncultured bacterium. RNAcentral describes it as "partial 16S ribosomal RNA". It matches the Rfam family "Bacterial small subunit ribosomal RNA", at positions 328 to 539 of the family's 1533-position model. The record is from RNAcentral.
ACGCUCGACACCUACGGGAGGCAGCAGUGGGGAAUACUGCACAAUGGGGGAAACCCUGAUGCAGCGACGCCGCGUGGAGGAAGAAGGUCUUCGGAUUGUAAACUCCUGUUGUUGGGGAAAAAGAGGAUGGUACCCAACAAGGAAGUGACGGCUAACUACGUGCCUGCAGCCGCGGUAAUCUGAGCGGGCUGGCAAGGC